Small nucleolar RNA from Triplophysa rosa, 67 nucleotides. RefSeq annotates it as small nucleolar RNA SNORD58. The record is from RefSeq and is a predicted model, not a curated record. The transcript has a single exon. Lineage: Eukaryota; Metazoa; Chordata; Actinopteri; Cypriniformes; Nemacheilidae.
CUGUAAUGAUGAGCUUAGGACACCUUUGUAUCGAUAAUGAAACAAAAUUGAACCUUUACUGAACAGC